GGGGGAUUUUCCGCAAUGGGCGAAAGCCUGACGGAGCAAUACCGCGUGAGGGAGGACGGCUUUUGGGUUGUAAACCUCUUUUAUCAGGGAAGAAUCGAUGACGGAACCUGAUGAAUCAGCAUCGGCUAACUCCGUGCCAGCAGCCGCGGUAAUACGGAGGAUGCAAGCGUUAUCCGGAAUUAUUGGGCGUAAAGCGUCCGUAGGUGGUUUAUCAAGUCUGCUGUCAAAGCGUGCGGCUUAACCGCAUAAGGGCAGUGGAAACUGAUGAACUAGAGUGCGAUAGGGGUAACAGGAAUUCCCAGUGUAGCGGUGAAAUGCGUAGAUAUUGGGAAGAACACCAGCGGCGAAAGCGUGUUACUGGGUCUGCACUGACACUGAGGGACGAAAGCUAGGGGAGCGAAAGGGAUUAGAUACCCCUGUAGUCCUAGCCGUAAACGAUGACAACUAGGCGUGGUUCGUAUCGACCCGAGCCGUGCCGUAGCCAACGCGUUAAGUUGUCCGCCUGGGGAGUACGCACGCAAGUGUGAAACUCAAAGGAAUUGACGGGGGCCCGCACAAGCGGUGGAGUAUGUGGUUUAAUUCGAUGCAACGCGAAGAACCUUACCAAGGCUUGACAUCCUCGGAACCCUGAUGAAAGUUAGGGGUGCCUUCGGGAGCCGAGAGACAGGUGGUGCAUGGCUGUCGUCAGCUCGUGUCGUGAGAUGUUGGGUUAAGUCCCGCAACGAGCGCAACCCACGUUUUUAGUUGCCAGCAUUCAGUUGGGCACUCUAGAGAGACUGCCGGUGACAAACCGGAGGAAGGUGUGGAUGACGUCAAGUCAGCAUGCCCCAUACGCCUUGGGCUACACACGUACUACAAUGCGUCGGACAAAGAGCAGCCAGCCAGCGAUGGUGAGCCAAUCUCAUAAACCGGCGCUCAGUUCAGAUUGCAGGCUGCAACUCGCCUGCAUGAAGGCGGAAUCGCUAGUAAUCGCAGGUCAGCAUACUGCGGUGAAUACGUUCCCGGGCCUUGUACACACCGCCCGUCACACCAUGGGAGUUGGUCACGCCCGAAGUCGUUACUCUAACUGCUUGCAGAGGAGGACGCCGAAGGUGGGGCUGAUGACUGGGGUGAAGUCGUAACAAGGUAGCCGUACCGGAAGGUGUGGCUGGAUCACCUCCU
This 1161-nucleotide ribosomal RNA is filed under the name Leptolyngbya sp. HA4236-MV8. RNAcentral's name for it is "bacterial SSU rRNA". It matches the Rfam family "Bacterial small subunit ribosomal RNA", at positions 356 to 1531 of the family's 1533-position model. The record is from RNAcentral. Lineage: Bacteria; Bacillati; Cyanobacteriota; Cyanophyceae; Leptolyngbyales; Leptolyngbyaceae.